GACGAACGCUGGCGGCGUGCUUAACACAUGCAAGUCGUACGGUAAGGCCCUUUCGGGGGUACACGAGUGGCGAACGGGUGAGUAACACGUGAGCAACCUGCCCACAACUUUGGGAUAACGCUAGGAAACUGGUGCUAAUACUGGAUAUGUGCUCCUGCUGCAUGGUGGGGGUUGGAAAGCUCCGGCGGUUGUGGAUGGACUCGCGGCCUAUCAGCUUGUUGGUGGGGUAGUGGCCUACCAAGGCGGCGACGGGUAGCCGGCCUGAGAGGGUGACCGGCCACAUUGGGACUGAGAUACGGCCCAGACUCCUACGGGAGGCAGCAGUGGGGAAUAUUGCACAAUGGGCGCAAGCCUGAUGCAGCAACGCCGCGUGCGGGAUGACGGCCUUCGGGUUGUAAACCGCUUUCAGCAGGGACGAAGCUUUUUGUGGCGGUACCUGCAGAAGAAGCACCGGCUAACUACGUG
RNAcentral lists this ribosomal RNA (465 nucleotides) under uncultured bacterium. Its description in RNAcentral is "partial 16S ribosomal RNA". It matches the Rfam family "Bacterial small subunit ribosomal RNA", at positions 28 to 507 of the family's 1533-position model. The record is from RNAcentral.